AUACGGAGGAUCCAAGCGUUAUCCGGAUUUAUUGGGUUUAAAGGGUGCGUAGGCGGACUGGUAAGUCAGCUGUGACAGUUUGCGGCUUAACCGUAAAAUUGCAGUUGAUACUGUCAGUCUUGAGUGUGCAUGAGGUGGGCGGAAUUUGUGGUGUAGCGGUGAAAUGCUUAGAUAUCACGAGGAACUCCAAUUCCGAAGGCAGCUCACUGGGGCAUAACCGACGCUGAUGCACGAAGGCGUGGGUAUCAAACAGGAUUAGAUACCCUGGUAGUCCACACAGUAAACUAUGAAUACUCGCUGUUUGCGAUAUACAGUAAGCGGCCAAGCGAAAGCAUUAAGUAUUCCACCUGGGG
Molecule: ribosomal RNA, 353 nt
Filed under: uncultured bacterium
Lineage: Bacteria
Description: partial 16S ribosomal RNA
Rfam family: Bacterial small subunit ribosomal RNA
Source: RNAcentral